This 495-nucleotide ribosomal RNA is filed under the name uncultured bacterium. Its description in RNAcentral is "bacterial SSU rRNA". It matches the Rfam family "Bacterial small subunit ribosomal RNA", at positions 27 to 518 of the family's 1533-position model. The record is from RNAcentral.
GGAUGAACGCUAGCGGCAGGCUUAACACAUGCAAGUCGAGGGGCAUCGGGAGUAGCAAUACUGCCGGCGACCGGCGCAAGGGUGCGUAACGCGUGAGCAACAUGCCCGUAUCAGGGGGAUAAUCCAUGGAAACGUGGUCUAAUACCCCAUAGUAAUUAUGUAAGGCAUCUUAUAUAAUUUAAAGCUUUGGUGGAUACGGAUUGGCUCGCGUGACAUUAGCUGGAUGGUAAGGUAACGGCUUACCAUGGCUACGAUGUCUAGGGGUUCUGAGAGGAAGGUCCCCCACACUGGAACUGAGACACGGUCCAGACUCCUACGGGAGGCAGCAGUGAGGAAUAUUGGACAAUGGAUGGAAAUCUGAUCCAGCCAUGCCGCGUGCAGGAAGACGGCCCUAUGGGUUGUAAACUGCUUUUGUAUGGGAGCAAUAAGGGCUACGUGUAGUCCGAUGAGAGUACCAUACGAAUAAGCACCGGCUAACUCCGUGCCAGCCGCGGC